AUAUUCUGAUUACCUAAUAUUGUAAGAAUGAGGAGUUUUGCGUUUGUUUUGUUAUUGGUUGCAGUUGCUUUGUCAGAGAUGCAGCCUGAAAGCAGGUCCUAUGCAAUGGCAGACAUAAUACCAGUGCCCUGAAAUUUCAACCAGUGUAUGGCCACCUGCAGGAGGAACGGUUUCAGCGGCGGCUACUGUAACUUGUUGGGAUGCCAAUGUAUUAGAUGAAGAUUUAUUGAAUGUACCUACUGUAUUCUUAUCAAAGUUCAUUACUUAAGAAAUAAAUAAAUAAAUAUC
This is a long non-coding RNA of Ostrinia nubilalis (European corn borer), 288 nucleotides long. RefSeq lists it as uncharacterized. The transcript has 2 exons. Lineage: Eukaryota; Metazoa; Arthropoda; Insecta; Lepidoptera; Crambidae. The record is from RefSeq and is a predicted model, not a curated record.